Molecule: ribosomal RNA, 119 nt
Filed under: Pteropus alecto (black flying fox)
Lineage: Eukaryota; Metazoa; Chordata; Mammalia; Chiroptera; Pteropodidae
Source: RNAcentral
AGCUACGGCCAUGUCAUCCUGAAUGUACUGGAUCUUGUCUGAUCUUGGAAAUUAAGCAGGGGCGGGCCAGGUUAGAACUUAGAUGGGAGACCACCUAGGAAUAUCAGGUGCUGUAGGCA